RNAcentral lists this long non-coding RNA (255 nucleotides) under Lathyrus oleraceus (garden pea). RNAcentral's name for it is "Pisum sativum (pea) long non-coding RNA (PSAT_LNC027626)". The record is from RNAcentral. Lineage: Eukaryota; Viridiplantae; Streptophyta; Magnoliopsida; Fabales; Fabaceae.
AAUUCAAGAAAGAUGAUAAUGUUGGUCGAAGUACCAUAUCUUUGUAGAAGAGCUGGAACAGGAAGAGAUUCCUGUUGAGGUGGAGCAUAGUGAUGUUGAAUUGCAUAACCUAAAUGAAGUCAGAGAAGAUGCACAAGUUGCUGAAGAAGAUGAGGAGACUGAAAAUGACUACCUGUUGGCAAAAGAUAGAUCGAGAAGAGUCAUCAAGCCACCUCAGAGACUUGGUUAUGUAGAUCUCAUAGCUUAUGCCUUACU